GACGAACGCUGGCGGCGUGCUUAACACAUGCAAGUCGAACGGUAAGGCCCUUCGGGGUACACGAGUGGCGAACGGGUGAGUAACACGUGGGUGAUCUGCCCUGCACUUCGGGAUAAGCCUGGGAAACUGGGUCUAAUACCGGAUAGGACCAUGCGCUUCGCGGUGUGUGGUGGAAAGCUUUUGCGGUGUGGGGUGGGCCCGCGGCCUAUCAGCUUGUUGGUGGGGGGAUGGCCUACCAAGGCGCCGACGGUAGCCGGCCGGAGAGGGUGACCGGCCACACUGGGACGUAGGUACGGCCCAGACUCCUACGGGAGGCAGCAGUGGGGAAUAUUGCACAAUGGGCGCAAGCCUGAUGCAGCGACGCCGCGUGAGGGAUGACGGCCUUCGGGUUGUAAACCUCUUUCAGCACCGACGAAGCGCAAGUGACGGUAGGUGCAGAAGAAGGACCGGCCAACUACGUGCCAGCCGCCGCCGUAA
RNAcentral lists this ribosomal RNA (477 nucleotides) under uncultured bacterium. RNAcentral's name for it is "partial 16S ribosomal RNA". It matches the Rfam family "Bacterial small subunit ribosomal RNA", at positions 28 to 523 of the family's 1533-position model. The record is from RNAcentral.